Molecule: ribosomal RNA, 397 nt
Filed under: uncultured bacterium
Lineage: Bacteria
Description: partial 16S ribosomal RNA
Rfam family: Bacterial small subunit ribosomal RNA
Source: RNAcentral
CCUACGGGAGGCAGCAGUGAGGAAUAUUGGUCAAUGGGCGGGAGCCUGAACCAGCCAAGCCGCGUGAAGGAAGAAGGUACUUAGUAUUUUAAACUUCUUUUGUCAGGGCACAAAGACUGAGACUCGUCCCCGGAUGAGUGUACCCGAAGAAAAAGCAUCGGCUAACUCCGUUCCAUCAGCCGCGGUAAUACGGAGGAUGCGAGGGUUGUCCGGAUUGAUUGGGUUGAAAGGGGGGGAAGGGGGCCUGUUAAGUCAGCGGUAAAAGCCCGGGGUUAAACCCGGGCGAGCCGUUGAAACUGGCAGUCUUGAGUUGGCGAGAGGUAUGCGGAAUGCGAGGUGUAGCGGUGAAAUGCGUAGAUAUUGGGAAGAACUCCGAUUGCGAAGGCAGCAUGCCGGC